UACGUAGGGGGCAAGCGUUGUCCGGAUUUAUUGGGCGUAAAGAGCGUGUAGGCGGCCAGGGAGGUCCGUUGGGAAAACUCGAGGCUCAACCUCGAGACGCCGAUGGAAACCCCCUGGCUAGAGUCCGGAAGAGGAGAGUGGAAUUCCUGGUGUAGCGGUGAAAUGCGCAGAUAUCAGGAAGAACACCCGUGGCUAAGGCGGCUCUCUAGUACGGUACUGACGCUGAGACGCGAAAGCGUGGGGAGCGAACAGG
RNAcentral lists this ribosomal RNA (253 nucleotides) under uncultured bacterium. Its description in RNAcentral is "partial 16S ribosomal RNA". It matches the Rfam family "Bacterial small subunit ribosomal RNA", at positions 524 to 776 of the family's 1533-position model. The record is from RNAcentral.